Molecule: ribosomal RNA, 492 nt
Filed under: uncultured bacterium
Lineage: Bacteria
Description: partial 16S ribosomal RNA
Rfam family: Bacterial small subunit ribosomal RNA
Source: RNAcentral
AGUGAACGCUGGCGGUAGGCCUAACACAUGCAAGUCGAACGGAAGCACAGUAAGAGCUUGCUCUUACGGGUGGCGAGUGGCGGACGGGUGAGGAAUACAUCGGCAUCUACUUUUUCGUGGGGGAUAACGUAGGGAAACUUACGCUAAUACCGCAUACGACCUACGGGUGAAAGCAGGGGAUCUUCGGACCUUGCGCGAUUGAAUGAGCCGAUGGCGGAUUAGCUAGUUGGCGGGGUAAAGGCCCACCAAGGCGACGAUCCGUCGCGGGGCGGAGGGGAGGAACCACCAACUGGGAACUGAGACACGGUCCAGACUCCUACGGGAGGCAGCAGUGGGGAAUAUUGGACAAUGGGCGCAAGCCUGAUCCAGCCAUACCGCGUGGGUGAAGAAGGCCUUCGGGUUGUAAAGCCCUUUUGUUGGGAAAGAAAAGCAGCAGGUUAAUACCCCGCUGUUCUGACGGUACCCAAAGAAUAAGCACCGGCUAACUUCGUG